GGAUGCGAUCAUACCAGCAAUAAUGCACCGGAUCCCAUCAGAACUCCGAAGUUAAGCUUGCUUGGGCGAGAGUAGUACUAGGAUGGGUGACCUCCUGGGAAGGCCUCGUGUUGCAUC
This 117-nucleotide ribosomal RNA is filed under the name Fragaria x ananassa (strawberry). The record is from RNAcentral. Lineage: Eukaryota; Viridiplantae; Streptophyta; Magnoliopsida; Rosales; Rosaceae.